AAGCUUGCUCUGAGCACCACCUCUUGAAAGGCCAAGGAGUUGCAGGACAAGCCUUCUUGACCAACGGUCCUUGCUUCUCACCUGAUGUCGCUAACUACAAGAAGUCCGAGUACCCUCUCUCUCACCACGCUAAUAUGUUCGGCUUACACGGCGCCGUUGCGAUACGCCUGCGCUGCAUCCACACGGGGGACGCUGAUUUUGUGUUGGAGUUCUUUUUGCCUAAGGACUGUGAUAAUAUGGGGGAGCAGAGGAAAAUGUUGAACGCUCUUUCGACCAUUAUGGCUCAUGUGCCUAGGAGCUUGAGGACUGUUACGGAUAAGGAGCUGGAAGAAGAGAGCGAAGUGGUGGAAAGGGAGGAGGUAGUCACGCCAAAGGUAGAGAACACACCGGAGCUACAUCAUAGUAAUCCUCAGAAUCUUGGAUUGGUGUUUGAUGGAGGAGACAAGCUGCCAAAUGAUGGGUUUGGUUUGAAGAGAGGUUAUGACUACACCAGAGAUGCUAAUAUCAAUGAGAGCAACACUUUCACCAUUGGUGGUUUUAAUAGCAUGGCUGAGAAGAAGCGUACAAAGGCAGAUAAAACCAUCACUUUGGAUGUUCUUAGACAGUACUUUGCAGGGAGUCUUAAAGAUGCAGCCAAGAGUAUCGGUGGUAAGCAGCAUUUUGUUUUGUUAUAUUGUUUUUUUUUUUUUUAUAAAUCGUAGACUCUAAAUCAAAAACACUAAACACUAAAACAUUAAACCCUAAACUCUAAAUCCUAAACCCUUGAGUGUUUUAGUGUUUUUGAUCUAAAGUUUGGAAUUUAUCCAAGGGUUUAGGAUUUACCCAAGGGUUUACGGUUUAGUAUUUAGGGUUUAAGAUUUAGUGUUUUGCUGACGACGUUAAAAAUAUUUUUUUAUAAAUAUUUUGUUUUCUGUAACUACUACUAUUUUUUAUUUUUUUAUUUUUUUACUUUUUUAUUUUAAAAACAUAAUAUAACUUGACAAUAUUUUUUUUUAAGAUAGUGAAUAUAAAAUAACACAAUCCUAUUGGUUGGUGAAUCUACAAAGGUUGAAUCCAAAAAUGACUCCGUUCCAUAGAGAGAAAAAAAAAAAAGAGAAAAGUUGAUACAUUGUCUUUGUCUCCGGAUUCUUCACAAUGGAGGAAUAUAUGGGAAGAGUGUUUGCAUUUUCGUUUCAAAAAAAAUAAAAAUUCAAAAUACUAGAUGCCCAAAUUAGUGACCUAACGAAAACAUUUUAAUACUGGCGACUGAUCAUUUCAUAAAAUAUCUUUUGCGUUCAUAUACUCUAUCCAGUCAUUUAGAGAACUAAGUUAUUCUUUUUUGUUAAAUUUAGAGAACUAAGUUGACCAAAUUAAAAUGAAAGAUGAUAUUUAUAUUUUAAAGCCACAUGUCUUAGUUGAAUUUUUUUAUAGUUUGAUAUAUAUGAAAUGUUGGGCUGGGCAUGCGUCAUUAGCUAUAUCGUUAGACCAAGUAACAAUUUCGUUCUUUCAGUGAAAAAUAAAUAUAUAACAUGAAAAUAAAAUAAUAAAUAAAUAAAAGCAGAGAAAUGUGAACUUACUUUUUGGCAAUCCCAGUAAUUAAAUAGCUCCGGCUAUCAAUAUUUACAAUUAUAUAUUUCAUAUUUCAAUAAACAACAUUUUAACAAAACAAGAAUCUAAAGAAACAUUUUUCAAAAAAAAAAAAUCUAAAGAAACUUCUUAGAUGAAUAGCUCUGUUUAAAAAAAAAAGGGCGAAAAGUAAAGAGAUCUCGUGAGCACCGGCGUUCAGCCUCUUCGGUCGUCGCCGGCCGAACGCCGGUGGCAUCUCUUCCCUCUCUGCCUUUUAAUUUUGUUCUCCUACUCCUCUUCGUUGUCGGCGUCAAUAUGUUUGGUGUCUCUAGUUGAAGCUUGCUCGAUGUUGGAACCCUAAAUCUUCUCUGGAAGAGCUAGAUUCGACGGUCUGGGGCUUCCCUUUGGAGCAUCGACGAGGUGUCUUCGGUUGUAGGGUAAGGGAGUCGGCUUUUAAGUCUUAGACCUUGUUAGAUCUCGUUUUCCUUUUCGUAGAUCUUGUCUUCGGUUGUUUUGAUGGUGACGCGUGAGGUUUGAAAUUAGGUUCUACCCUCUGUUUCUUUUAUGGGACAAGCAGUAGUAGCCUUUGUGGAAGGGUACGUGAGGUGUAGCUGCGUAUGUGGCUUGGCGUUUGGCUUGGGCCUGGGAGUGUUGCCUCUGUUCUUUGGAAUCAACUCCGUUGAUCUUUGAUGAUCAAAGACUUUUGCGAGCUCUUCUUUAGAUUUGAGAGGAACGGAAGAAGAUAGUUGGGUUCGGAGCGAUGGCUUCACUGUUGUUCGCUUGUCGCCGUGUUGAUCGUGUUAGUUCUGGAUUUAGAGUGGUUAUUAUCCAGUUACCGGCUGUGUGAAUAAAUCGGGUUCGAGAAGCUUUUAGUCUAGUUUCCCAGGAAAAAAAAGUAUGCACAGUGUGGAGCAACACUUGGUAAUAUAUAUCGACAAAAAAGGGAUAAAAUAAUUUGAUAGAAAUUAGAAGAGGUAAUAUAUGUGGAGUGCACCUAAUUGGGAGUAUGUGAGCAAAGCCCCCCAAGUGGAGGAAAGCUAAGUUAUGCACCACUUGUUCGCCUUUUUAGCUUACGCUAUCUCUUUGUGUUAGAUAGAAAGUACAAACUCUUACGUGUAUAUGCGUAUAUCUUUCUAUAUAAUUGGUGCGUAUACGUAUUACUUCUAUAACUGGUAUUGUAAUAUUGAAUAGCUGACCCCAGAAAACAACCCUUUCUUUUCCCAAAAAAAAAAAAACUUGACUUCCACAUAACAUAACACCACCGUGAAAUUAUACAAAAGAAGGUGAUAAGGAUUAAUGAAUGGCUCGAUAGAUUUGUCUCAACCAAUCAAAACAUCUUUAGUAUUAGUCUCGACUCAAGAGUAGUGUUGCCUAACAAAAGGUUUGUAGUUUUCUAUUAUAUUUGAGCGGUGGAAUCUAUAAGAUUCACGAGGCGAAAACGGUGUUGGUUACACAAUAAUACUCUGCAUUAUAUAUGAGAAACUUUUGUUUUACUAAACUAUUUUAUAUUGUCAAUUUGAUAAGAAAACUGUAUUUUUUAAGCAAGUGGAAGGAAGAACCUACUCCCUCACUUGUUUCUUUUUAUUUACUUGAUUUAUUAUAUUUCUGCAUAGAAAGCCUAAAAUGUAUAAUGGCAUUUAGAUUCUUUUUUUUUUUAAGACUCGGCUUUCAGAUUCUUUGAUUUUAUGUAGUGAUAAAAAUCAGUUAUAGCAACAUGUACCAAAAUGAUCAAUUUCGAUGGACCAAGUAACACAAACAAUAAUAAUUGUUAACAUGUCUUCAUUUAGCAACAAGGGUCUAAAAAUGGAAAUUAAUGCGCUUUGGCCAUCAUCACCGCGACAAAAUGUUGAAGAAGAAUCAUUCUCCAAACAUAUAAACUUUUGAAUAAAUUGGCAAGAUCAGAUAUGGUAUUUUCUCCAAAAAAAAAAAAAGAUCAGAUAUGGUAUGUUUUAAAGAUACGUGCAGCCAUUAUAUUUGAAAUUUUCAACAAAAUUUGUAGAAUCUUAUUCUACCACUAACUGAAUUAAACAAUAUCAUAAAAAUAAACAAUCUAUUUUAUCUUUAGUCAGCUGGUUAAAAAAGGAUUAGUCACAGAAUAAAGAAAAUAAAAUGCUUUUACAGGUUUUAGGUUCUUUUUUCUGCUGUUGUUGGUGUCAAAUCAAAUGUAUAUAUAUUUUUAAAUAAUCAUUUUCUUCUUUUUAUUAUCAUACAGUUAUUGUUGAUAUUCUCUGAUUCUCAUUGUCUCUAUGCGUGACGUUUGCUAAACAAAAAUAGAGUUCUGACUUUUCUACAUAAAUAGAAAUUCACUGCACAAGACAUGUUAUUGCUUGUUUUGUUUAUUCCAUCAACUCUCUCUAGAGAGUGAGAGAAUCUUCUUUUCUCUCAAAAACCUAAGCAGCCUGGAAGAGAGAGAGUAAGAUGUUCUGUAAUUUAACCAAAACGAAACAAAACAAAUACCUCAAUAAGGUCUCGCUAUGUCCCGAUGCAUAGAGGAGAUAACGAUCCACAGAUAUUCACUCUCUUUCAUUUUAAAUGUUUAAAGUUAAAUUCCUUUAUUUAUUUAUUUUGUUUUCAUCUUAAGGUACUUCUUCUUCACAGAGACACAUAACCCAUUCAGACAUCUUUAAUUACAGCUUUCUUUUCUUUCUCAUCUCAUCUGUUCCUUUUAUUUCAGACAAACAAACUGCAACAAACUUCAGUUUAUAAAAAGGGAAUCUUAAAACACCACUUGAGUUAAGGAAUCUCCGAAGAAUCUCUCUCUCUACCUUGUGAGUUUCUUUGUUUUCUCCAUUAGAAAGAUCUUCCUGAUUUAUCAUCUAAAAGCUUUAAAGGUUUGAUCUUUCAUUAUGGGUUUUAAUCAGUGUAUCUAUUAAGCUAUAAAGAUAUUGAGUUUCUCUUACUUUGACCAGCUUGAAGGAAUCAAACAAAAAGUUGAGCUUUUUAUUUUAUAACUCUGGAUUCCUUAUUAUGUCAUCAUGAAUUAGAUUUAUCUAUGAAUCUCGAUCUCGACCCUCUUUGUUUGUUUGUAAAACUUAAUUGAAAAAUCAAUACUUUGUUUUUUUUUUCUAGAUGGUACGCUUCAUUGAUAUUUAGAGAUUAGCUAAAAAAACCAACAAAACCAAUGGAAGAUAGUUUUCUUCAAACUCAGAACGCAGUUAUGGACACUGAGUUCAUGGAUGGGUUGCUACUAGAUGGAUGUUGGUUAGAGACAACAGACGGAUCUGAGUUUCUCAACUUGCCUCCGUUUGAUCCAUCUUCCUUCAUGUGGUCUCCACCUCAAGACACAUCUGCUAUCUGCACAUCAGGUGUAGUAUCUCAAACCUACGGUCAAGAUUGUGCAGAUGAGUUUCAGUAUAACAAAAGGUGGUGGAUAGGACCAGGAGGCGGCGGUGGUUCUUCUGUCACCGAGAGACUAGUCCAAGCAGUUGAACACAUUAAAGACUACACAACAGAGAGAGGCUCACUUAUACAGCUAUGGGUUCCUGUCAACAGAGGCGGUAAGCGAGUUUUAACCACAAAGGAACAGCCUUUCAGCCACGACCCCAUGUGUCAGAGACUUGCGAACUACAGAGAGAUCUCUGUGAACUAUCACUUCUCUGCCGAGCAAGAUGACUCCAAGGCCUUGGCUGGAUUGCCUGGAAGGGUUUUCUUGGGGAAGCUCCCUGAGUGGACUCCUGAUGUUAGGUUCUUCAAGAGCGAGGAGUAUCCGAGAGUCCAGCACGCUCAGGACUGUGAUGUCCGUGGGACGCUGGCGAUUCCGGUGUUUGAGCAAGGGAGUAAGAUUUGCUUGGGUGUUAUUGAGGUUGUGAUGACUACCGAGAUGGUUAAACUAAAACCUGAGCUUGAAAGCAUCUGCAGAGCACUUCAGGCGGUUGAUCUUAGGAGUACUGAACUUCCGGUUCCGCCUUCUCUAAAGGUAAGCAAAUAAACUACACAAGUUCUCUAGUUUCUGGUAUUGGUACCCCUAAGCAUUCGGUUCUUGGUUCGUGUUCGCUUUUUCGGUUCUUUAGAUGUUUAGGAUCCAUUCGGUUGUUUAGGAGUUUGGUUCCGUUUUUGUUCGGUUAUUUCGGUUUUCGUAGUUCGGGUAACAAAGUUGGGAACCGACUAAUAUCCAAGGUAAUUUCAGAUCCUAUUCGGUUCCAUUUUUUUGGUUAAUUCAUGUUAAAAAAGAAAGGAAAUUCAGUUUUUCGAUUAAGUAUCAGAAUUUUUGGUCUUUUCGAAUAAAAUUUGGAUAAUUCGGAUAAUUUUUAAGUUUUUUGGGUAUUCGGUUUGUGGAUAAAAUUUUAAAACUACUGUAUUUGAUUAUUUUAAAACUAAAUCUAGUUAUUUAUAAAUAUAUAAACUAUAUUAUGGUAAUUCGGGUACAUGUUUGAUUCUCCAGUUUUGGUUUUUUUGGUUCGGGAUACAUGUGCUCAGGCCUAGGUAAUGUGGUAUUAACUGCAUUGUUUGUUCUUUUAUUUCAGGGAUGUGACUUAUCCUACAAAGCUGCAUUACCUGAAAUCCGAAACCUCUUGAGAUGUGCUUGUGAGACGCACAAACUCCCUCUAGCUCAGACAUGGGUCUCAUGUCUCCAACAAAGCAAAAGCGGGUGCCGUCACAACGACGAGAACUACAUCCACUGCGUGUCAACAAUCGACGAAGCUUGCUACCUCGGCGAUCCAACGGUCCGUGAGUUCCAAGAAGCUUGCUCUGAGCACCACCUCUUGAAAGGCCAAGGAGUUGCAGGACAAGCCUUCUUGACCAACGGUCCUUGCUUCUCACCUGAUGUCGCUAACUACAAGAAGUCCGAGUACCCUCUCUCUCACCACGCUAAUAUGUUCGGCUUACACGGCGCCGUUGCGAUACGCCUGCGCUGCAUCCACACGGGGGACGCUGAUUUUGUGU
RNAcentral lists this long non-coding RNA (6429 nucleotides) under Brassica napus (rape). Its description in RNAcentral is "long non-coding RNA (BNAP_LNC023850)". Lineage: Eukaryota; Viridiplantae; Streptophyta; Magnoliopsida; Brassicales; Brassicaceae. The record is from RNAcentral.